UAGUGAGAGUAAAGCCAGAAUAUUUUAAUAAGUCGUCAUUUUCGACUGAAUCGAUGAUUAAUACCAUUAAAUAUGAUUUAAAAUUAUUUGAAAUUUUCACAAAUUAAAUUUUAAAAAUUUUUGAUAUUAUUUAUUUCGUGAGCAAGUGGUCUAAAAAACUAUCAAAUUUGAAAUUAUCUGAAUACUCGACAAGUAAUGACUGUAAAAUCGUGAUAUUUGAAACUUAAAAAGGCUCAAAUAGUAUAGAUUAAAGGCAGAAUUGAAAAAAAAUCUCCUUACAAAUAUCCGUUUUUAACUUUUCCUCCAUAACUUUCAAAAACAUAUAUGUUACCCCCUCAACAUUUUUAAGUUAUUGUAUUUAGUCAUUCUCCGUUAGGUUUCAUUACUAUUCGGUCUAUUUCUUAUAAUUUAUACCGAAAGUAUCAUUCAAAAUGACAUAAAUAUAUUAAAAAAUUAUUUUGUUCUUACAGAAAAGUAAGGAUAAUUUGGUCAUUUUUGCCCUCUCUAUUAAUGCUGUACCUCUUCAAAAUAUUUCUAAAAUUUUAGAAAAAAAUUUUAAAAAUUAGAAAGAAAGAGUAAAAAAACAGAUAUUUACAUGAAUAUUAUCUGUAAUUUAGUGUAACUUAAAUUUAAAAGUGUUGACCAUCGAUUUGGAUAUCUUUACCCUCGAAAAUGACACAAAAGUAUCCAGUUUU
Molecule: long non-coding RNA, 695 nt
Filed under: Ananas comosus (pineapple)
Lineage: Eukaryota; Viridiplantae; Streptophyta; Magnoliopsida; Poales; Bromeliaceae
Description: long non-coding RNA (ACOM_LNC027175)
Source: RNAcentral